RNAcentral lists this ribosomal RNA (459 nucleotides) under uncultured bacterium. RNAcentral's name for it is "partial 16S ribosomal RNA". It matches the Rfam family "Bacterial small subunit ribosomal RNA", at positions 338 to 795 of the family's 1533-position model. The record is from RNAcentral.
CCUACGGAGGCAGCAGUGAGGAAUAUUGGUCAAUGGGCCUAAGCCUGAACCAGCCAAGUCGCGUGAGGGAUGAAGGUUCUAUGGAUCGUAAACCUCUUUUAUAAGGGAAUAAAGUGUUGGACGUGUUCUGUUUUGUAUGUACCUUAUGAAUAAGGAGCGGCUAACUCCGUGCCAGCAGCCGCGGGAAUACGGAGGAUCCGAGCGUUAUCCGGAUUUAUUGGGUUUAAAGGGUGCGUAGGCGGCCUUUUAAGUCAGCGGUGAAAGUCUGUGGCUCAACCUGAGAAUUGCCGUUGAAACUGGGAGGCUUGAGUAUGUUUGAGGGAGGCAGAAUGCGUGGUGUAGCGGUGAAAUGCUUAGAUAUCACGCAGAACCACGAUUGCGAAGGCAGCCUGCCAAGCCAUGACUGACGCUGAUGCACGAAAGCGUGGGGAUCAAACAGGAUUAGAUACCCGUGUAGUC